RNAcentral lists this ribosomal RNA (445 nucleotides) under uncultured bacterium. Its description in RNAcentral is "partial 16S ribosomal RNA". It matches the Rfam family "Bacterial small subunit ribosomal RNA", at positions 354 to 796 of the family's 1533-position model. The record is from RNAcentral.
GUAAGGAAUAUUGGUCAAUGGACGAAAGUCUGAACCAGCCAUGCCGCGUGAAGGAUGAAGGCCCUCUGGGUUGUAAACUUCUUUUAUCUGGGACGAAAAAAGGGUAUUCUUACUCACUUGACGGUACCAGAGGAAUAAGCACCGGCUAACUCCGUGCCAGCAGCCGCGGUAAUACGGAGGGUGCAAGCGUUAUCCGGAUUCACUGGGUUUAAAGGGUGCGUAGGUGGGUAUUUAAGUCAGUGGUGAAAUCUCCGAGCUUAACUCGGAAACUGCCAUUGAUACUAUUUACCUUGAAUGCCCUGGAGGUAAGCGGAAUAUGUCAUGUAGCGGUGAAAUGCUUAGAGAUGACAUAGAACACCAAUUGCGAAGGCAGCUUACUACGGGGUGAUUGACACUGAGGCACGAAAGCGUGGGGAGCAAACAGGAUUAGAUACCCUAGUAGUCC